Apteryx owenii (little spotted kiwi) is the source of this 722-nucleotide long non-coding RNA. NCBI's taxonomy places the organism in Eukaryota, Metazoa, Chordata, Aves, Apterygiformes, Apterygidae. The record is from Ensembl.
CAAGUAAAAGACUCAACCUUUGGAGAAUCCUUACCCACUUCCCUUCCUGAAAGCAGUAUUGGUGCCAUCCUUUGGCAAACCUUGGAAUAUGAAAAACUGCAAGAGUUGCAGCAGUUUCGAGUGGAAUCGAAUUAAACAAAAGACGACUUUGGACAAGCGAGAGAACUGAUUCUUCAUCCAAAUAAUGGCAUCUGGACUCGGAUGAAAAAGGCUCCAGAUUUUUCAUCAUAAGAAGGAAAGUUUAAGAUUUUAUUUUUAGUACUUGUUUUAGCAGCAUUUGAUAUUUCACUCUAUCUUUUGUCAUAUGCAUGAUAACUAUACAGAAUAUACAGAGAAUAUGUUAGAAUAAUUAGUAUUUUUUUCUAUUACAGUAUUCAAAGCCAUAUUUAUGAUAUGAUUAUAGCAUCCUCAUUGAGAUGGCAGGAUGUUCAAAAUGUGAUGUUGAAAUGUGAAUGUCUUCUGUUCUUACUGUUUCACUGGUAUCUUCCAUGAUUGCCUCUGAGAUGCUAUUCAUUUUGUUCCACCUAAAAACUGAUGGACAUCUCAUCACAGAGAGUAGAUACUUGCACUUUUCUGAGCAGAGUCUUCCAGGUCACUCUCCUUGUCAUUGUAUACAUGCAACAAAAGAGCGAGCAAAAAAGAAAGAUGACAUACUGGAAAUGUUCAGUCCUUUCCUACAAGCACGACACAAGCAAAGCAAAUUGACACACAAGARGAUAUGA